Molecule: transfer RNA, 76 nt
Filed under: Mediterraneibacter torques
Lineage: Bacteria; Bacillati; Bacillota; Clostridia; Lachnospirales; Lachnospiraceae
Also listed under: 1 other name
Description: [Ruminococcus] torques tRNA-Pro(cgg)
Rfam family: tRNA
About the family: Transfer RNA (tRNA) molecules are approximately 80 nucleotides in length. Their secondary structure includes four short double-helical elements and three loops (D, anti-codon, and T loops).
Source: RNAcentral
UCGGAGUGUGGCUCAGUUUGGUAGAGCGCUACGUUCGGGACGUAGAGGUCGCAAGUUCGAAUCUUGUCACUCCGAU